CCGUGGUGCACUAGUUAACCUAUUUGGAAUUCCAUCCUUCUUUGCUUGGGUGUUUAUUCCUGGAGACAUGGAGGUCCACAAGGUCAAGAUGGCAAGCUUGUGCUUAAUUUUGCUCAUGGCACUCCUCUUGCUUCCUGCAGGAUCUGAAGGCGCCUGCAGGGGGUUAAGCCAGACGUACCAAACUGACCAAUGCAAGGGUGACCAAUGCACAGAGCACUGCGAACAUGAGAAUUUCCCGUAUGCGGAGUGUGACACGGACCAUCAAUAUCCUGAACUUAGUUACUGCGUCUGCUUCUUUCCAUGCUGAUUCUGCCUCAAGUUGCUUCAGGAUGUGAAGCAACGUGCAAUAAGAUCUUAAGGCGAGCCGUCUGUAACAUCCAAAUAUUUCGAAAUUUGGAAUGUUGAAUAAAUUAGCCAAUCAAUAAAUAUAGUUGAUUUCCCUUGUUUGUGGUUGUA
This is a long non-coding RNA of Triticum dicoccoides, 456 nucleotides long. RefSeq lists it as uncharacterized. The record is from RefSeq and is a predicted model, not a curated record. Lineage: Eukaryota; Viridiplantae; Streptophyta; Magnoliopsida; Poales; Poaceae. The transcript has 2 exons.